GAUGAACGCUGGCGGCGUGCCUAAUACAUGCAAGUCGAGCGAACGGACGAGAAGCUUGCUUCUCUGAUGUUAGCGGCGGACGGGUGAGUAACACGUGGAUAACCUACCUAUAAGACUGGGAUAACUUCGGGAAACCGGAGCUAAUACCGGAUAAUAUUUUGAACCGCAUGGUUCAAAAGUGAAAGAAGGUCUUGCUGUCACUUAUAGAUGGAUCCGCGCUGCAUUAGCUAGUUGGUAAGGUAACGGCUUACCAAGGCAACGAUGCAUAGCCGACCUGAGGGGGUGAUCGGCCACACUGGAACUGAGACACGGUCCAGACUCCUACGGGAGGCAGCAGUAGGGAAUCUUCCGCAAUGGGCGAAAGCCUGACGAAGCAACGCCGCGUGAGUGAUGAAGGUCUUCGGAUCGUAAAACUCUGUUAUUAGGGAAGAACAUAUGUGUAAGUAACUGUGCACAUCUUGACGGUACCUAAUCAGAAAGCCACGGCUAACUACGUG
Molecule: ribosomal RNA, 497 nt
Filed under: uncultured bacterium
Lineage: Bacteria
Description: partial 16S ribosomal RNA
Rfam family: Bacterial small subunit ribosomal RNA
Source: RNAcentral